Tympanuchus pallidicinctus (lesser prairie-chicken) is the source of this 644-nucleotide long non-coding RNA. RefSeq lists it as uncharacterized. NCBI's taxonomy places the organism in Eukaryota, Metazoa, Chordata, Aves, Galliformes, Phasianidae. The record is from RefSeq and is a predicted model, not a curated record. The transcript is spliced from 6 exons.
GAGCUGAUCCAAGUUGAAGCCCUCAUUUCUCCCGGCUGACACAAAACUGGGCAGAGUGGCUGACACAGCAAAAGGCUGUGCUGCCUUCCAGCGAGACCUGGAGAGUUGGGUGGGGAGAAACGGAAUGAGAAAGAACAAGGGCAGGUGAUCCUGCCCCAGCAGGGGGAUUGGACGAGGUGAUCUUUGGAGGUCCCUUCCAAUUCCUGACAUUCUGUGAUUCUGUGCAAAGUUGGUUCACGGUAGUACUUUUGCUGCUGGGAAAUAGGAGCGCUGAUCUUUGGGAAGUUCCGGAUGCUGUCAGGAGUUAUUCAAGCCCAUUGGUGUUAAUUUGACCCUGGACUGGCUGCUGCUUGACAUGCUGUCUGCACAGAGAUUUUCAGGAGGAGCUGGAGCUAAUGAAACUGUGUGAGGAAGCUGUGACCUUGAUCCGAUCUAAUCAACAGCUUGAAAAUGACCUCAAUCUCAUGGACCUCAAGAUUGGACUGCUAGUGAAGAACAGAAUGACACUGCAGAAAGAGAACUGCAGCAGAAACAUCAAGGCUUCAAGUGUUUUAAAAACAAAGCACCAGAAAAAAACCCACUCGGGACCAAGGGAAAGCAAUAGAUGGAUGUUGUUUCUCAUAGCAAAAAUCUUAGCAAGGAGA